GGGGUGGGCAGACAGAGAAGGGCGGGCAGGAGCCAAGCGGCGAGCUCCAGUGACCGGCGUGCCCGUGGCUUCGGUGUUCCCGCCUCGAGGACCCGGGAGUUCGGUCCCGGAGCCCCUCGGGGGCAGGCGUGGAGGGGAGCCUGGCCGGCGGGCGGGGCCAGGGCCGCCCUCAGUAGACUCAGAUGACCUGUAUCUUCAAAAGAUGGGGCGUCUUCCCUAAGGACGGGGGAGAGCCAGGUCCUCACAAUGUACGCGGCCCUGUGGAACCUGCUUCCCACCUCACGCCGUACCUCGCUCCCCUCAUCUUCUGCUUCUCUUCCUCAAGCUCAGUCCCCUCAGCCACACUAGCCUCCUUGCUUUCUCUGGAACAUGCCAGCAUUUAUCGAGGACCUAUCAUGCCAGACGGCUGGGGAUGCAGUGUCACUAAGAGAGACGUGGUCCCAUCCUUGUGAAACUUACAAUCUAGCAGGGAAGACACACAAUGAAGAUGUAAUGAGAAGCUCACUGAGUGCUACACAUGCCGACUCCCAGUAAAUAAUAAUAAUUAAUAUAAACACCUAUAGAAUGAAUAAGUGAAUGGUUGAGUAACUGUGUGAAUAAUAACCCCUUCUCCACAAUUUUUCCCCCUCUCUGCUUUAUAUUACAUUUAGCCUAAAAUAUAACGUUUUUUAUGGUCCC
This 678-nucleotide long non-coding RNA is filed under the name Equus caballus (horse). RNAcentral describes it as "lncRNA (ENSECAG00000051880.1)". Lineage: Eukaryota; Metazoa; Chordata; Mammalia; Perissodactyla; Equidae. The record is from RNAcentral.